This is an RNA transcript of Harpia harpyja (harpy eagle), 2697 nucleotides long. RefSeq lists it as uncharacterized. The record is from RefSeq and is a predicted model, not a curated record. The transcript has 4 exons. NCBI's taxonomy places the organism in Eukaryota, Metazoa, Chordata, Aves, Accipitriformes, Accipitridae.
GGGACCUGGCUGCAGCAGUGUGCUUGUCACAUCCCUUCACCACUGCAGCCGGGACUUGGUUCUUUGCUAAAGGUUUACUUCUGUGUAGUCUGAGUGAAUUCCCUUCCAAACUGGAAAAAUAAACCCCAGCACACACAUCCAGUGUCACUUCUCAUAUGUGGCUGUUUUCAUUAGGUGUUUGGAGCUCAUUUUCAGAGCAUGAUGGUGAGAUGCCUGUGCUAGUGCUGCUCUGGCACAUGCCUUUGAGAACUGCAUUUUUCUGUUCAAUAUGUGGCUGUUUCACACCCAGGUAUCAUCUCUGGAUUUCUUGCUCUGUAACAGUUGCUUUCCAGUACAAAGGGUUGAAAGUGAGAGAGGUCCCAGGCUGCCCCAGCACCUCCCUAAUAGCAGCCAGGCGGUAGGAAAACAAGGUAUUUCAGCAUUGCGUUGCGGAGCGUCCUGAGCGUCUGUUGUUGCAGGGACAGGAACCUGAUCUGAACUCUGCACUCAGUGGAGGAGGAAUUGCAGCCACCAGCGAGGAAAGUUUAAAUACCCUCUGUGCUGGGAGACUUUCAUACCCGACUCUGUUGUGCGUAAGCGUGUAAGCACUGUGACAGUGUGACACAGUGCCUUGGGUCAGUGCGGGGAGAGGAGUUUAAAAAAGUCUGACAAAGAUUCCAGUGGUGAGGGGUCAAUGUGCUCACAAAACCAGGGGUCUCAAAUAUUGCUCUUGUUCGGCUGCCUCCCUUUGAGCAAAUUUGACUCGAAGGCUGCAAGCAGAAGUCUCUUACAGAAGACAAGAAGAAGGAUUUGGGGUUUCCAGAUAGGCUGAGGUGGAUGUGAGAUUUGCUCUGUUGUCUCUGGAUGAGAAGUCUGACACUGGAUAUGGUGAUAGCAGAGGCAAUGCGUUUGUGGAGCUGGAACCCUUGUACUGCCCCUUGUAACUCGUCCAUGGAUGUUCUUCCCACGUAUGUGCAAUUUGAUCGCCAGUGCUCUACAAAGAGCAGCUGAGGAUCGGGUGAAGCGAGCUGAUCAGAAAACUUCCCUUAAUUUCCUUGUACAAAAGCACCUUUAUUAGUUCCAAGAAGCAGGGAUUACGGCAAUAAAAAUCUAAUAUAUUGAUAAAGCAGCAGCCAGAUAAUCUUAGCAGGUAGAAAUUAGCUCAAAGUUUUAGAACAAUAAAUAUUGCUUCCUUACUCUUUCAUAAUCUGGGUUUUUUUUUUUUCUUUCAGCAGCUGUCCAGAGAGCAAAGACUUUCCCACAGAUGUUUGGGAGAGCUGGUCUGUAAAGUGUGUGUAUGUUUUCCAGAGUGAAAGGGCUACAUCUCCGUGAUGCUGUUCUGCUGCCCAUCUCGGCACAUGCAAGAGAAGUGGCAGGUUUAGGUGGAGUUGUCUCCUCUAUGUGUCCAACCAGGAGUUGCUCACAUCAUGAAGGAGGCAGCAAUGGGCGACCAAGGCACCGUGAAACCUGUUCCUUCUCUGUGCCUGUUCUGCAGGCUUUGCAGGCAGAAGAGAGAAUUAUUGACUCUGUGGCACCAGCAAAGUAUCCAGAAUCUAUAUUUUGUUUAAAGCAGAAACAGUUAUUCGUCAACAGUGCCUUAUUGUGUCAGAAGGAUUGCAUGACCUUUGGUGAAUUAUUUUCUGCUGAAGUGGGGAGCGGCAGAAAUCAUCAUGCAAGAGCUGGAGAUGCACAUCGGCUGCUGAGCUGGAGGGAGCUGCCUGGGAACAGCUACUGGUGAGCAAAGCGCCAGGGGAGCCCAUGACGAGCCAGCCAGUGUGGCCGUCACUGCUGCUACGGGGGCUGGACCACUGGCCUCUUCGAUGUCUGCCGCAGCAAGGCAAUUUGUAUGAGUUUGCGUGGCUACUUCUUACUCCCUGAAUGCCUCUGUAGUUCCCACAGCAAAGAGACGCUGAGUUAACAGCAAGCUUGAACCCGUUCCUGUUGCCUGUCCCACCCGUGGUGCCCAGUCACCAGCUGCUGCACGGGGUGACCCAGGAGGGGCUGGGCAGUGUCUGCCGCGGCCUCCCUGCAAACCGUCAGCGUGGCCCUGUGUGUUUCGGGGGUCUGCGAUGCCUCCCACUGCCCUCACCUGCGGGCAAAGGCUCCGGCAGCGAAGUGCAGCUACCUGCAACGCGGGUGCCCCAGCCAGGGACCCAAGCAUGGCUAAAAGCUGCGAGGAGGUAGAUCUGUGUUUUGUGUGGCAUAAAAGGGGUUCAGUUGUUGCUCCUCUGAUCUUUAAGCAGUGGCUGUUAGAGUAAUUUCUGAUCCAUUAAGCAGAGAUAUGUGUCUAACAGGAAGAAUUUUUAUUUCUUUUGAUGUUUUAUUUCUUUAGUAGCAGAUUGGGUUUUUGCAUCCUUUUUUCUCUUUAUUUGGGCGGGGGUCACAUUACUUUCUUCCAGGUUUCUUUUAUGUCUUUCAUAAUGUGUAAGGAGGAAAAAAAUCAUCACCACUAAUUUGCAUUAAGGACGUGAGUUAGAUUCAAAGGCGCAGAGCACUUCUUCUGAAAAUAGUUCUUUGGGUUUUGUUCUGACACCACUCUAAAAGCUGGGCUACUUAUUUGAUGGAGGGAGGUUUAUAAUGCUCCUUGGCUGAAUACAUGGGAGAAGGGGUCUUCCAGACCCAAAACAACUGAGGGGGCAAAGCAGCCGGGGCUGGUGCAGUGGCAGCGCUGGGGCAGGAGGGUCUGCAGGGAGCCCAGCAGUGCUGGGGACCUUGGAC